GAUGAACGCUGGCGGCGUGCCUAAUACAUGCAAGUCGAGCGAACAGACGAGGAGCUUGCUCCUCUGAUGUUAGCGGCGGACGGGUGAGUAACACGUGGAUAACCUACCUAUAAGACUGGGAUAACUUCGGGAAACCGGAGCUAAUACCGGAUAACAUGUUGAACCGCAUGGUUCAACAGUGAAAGACGGUCUUGCUGUCACUUAUAGAUGGAUCCGCGCCGCAUUAGCUAGUUGGUAAGGUAACGGCUUACCAAGGCAACGAUGCGUAGCCGACCUGAGAGGGGGAUCGGCCACACUGGAACUGAGACACGGUCCAGACUCCUACGGGAGGGAGCAGUAGGGAAUCUUCCGCAAUGGGCGAAAGCCUGACGGAGCAACGCCGCGUGAGUGAAGAAGGUCUUCGGAUCGUAAAACUCUGUUAUUAGGGAAGAACAAAUGUGUAAGUAACUAUGCACGUCUUGACGGUACCUAAUCAGAAAGCCACGGCUAACUACGUG
This 497-nucleotide ribosomal RNA is filed under the name uncultured bacterium. RNAcentral describes it as "partial 16S ribosomal RNA". It matches the Rfam family "Bacterial small subunit ribosomal RNA", at positions 28 to 507 of the family's 1533-position model. The record is from RNAcentral.